RNAcentral lists this small RNA (30 nucleotides) under Bombyx mori (domestic silkworm). RNAcentral's name for it is "ovarian small RNA-7831". The record is from RNAcentral. Lineage: Eukaryota; Metazoa; Arthropoda; Insecta; Lepidoptera; Bombycidae.
UCUUUGGGCCGACGGUUCGCGGAGCCGGGU